ACUCCUACGGGAGGCAGCAGUGAGGAAUAUUGGUCAAUGGACGAGAGUCUGAACCAGCCAAGUAGCGUGAAGGAUGACUGCCCUAUGGGUGGUAAACUUCUUUUAUAAGGGAAUAAAGUGAGGGACGUGUCCCUUUUUGUAUGUACCUUAUGAAUAAGGAUCGGCUAACUCCGUGCCAGCAGCCGCGGUAAU
This 192-nucleotide ribosomal RNA is filed under the name uncultured Bacteroides sp. RNAcentral's name for it is "partial 16S ribosomal RNA". It matches the Rfam family "Bacterial small subunit ribosomal RNA", at positions 335 to 524 of the family's 1533-position model. Lineage: Bacteria; Pseudomonadati; Bacteroidota; Bacteroidia; Bacteroidales; Bacteroidaceae. The record is from RNAcentral.